This is a non-coding RNA of Rhizophagus irregularis, 105 nucleotides long. Lineage: Eukaryota; Fungi; Glomeromycota; Glomeromycetes; Glomerales; Glomeraceae. The record is from Rfam.
GCCCGGUUAGUUCAGUCGUUAGAAUAUCACAUAUUAAUAUUAAAUAAAAUAAAAAAUAUUAAAUAUUAAGUCGUGAAGACGCGGGUUCAACUCCUGCACUGGGCU